RNAcentral lists this microRNA precursor (80 nucleotides) under Xiphophorus maculatus (southern platyfish). RNAcentral's name for it is "mir-199 microRNA precursor family". It matches the Rfam family "mir-199 microRNA precursor family". From Rfam's summary of the family: This family consists of the microRNA (miRNA) precursor mir-199 which appears to be specific to humans. Animal miRNAs are transcribed as ~70nt precursors and subsequently processed by the Dicer enzyme to give a ~22nt product. Lineage: Eukaryota; Metazoa; Chordata; Actinopteri; Cyprinodontiformes; Poeciliidae. The record is from Rfam by way of RNAcentral.
ACCCAGCCUGCCCAGUGUUCAGACUACCUGUUCCUACGGCUACAGUUGAACAGUAGUCUGCACAUUGGUUAGGCCAGGCU